This 330-nucleotide ribosomal RNA is filed under the name uncultured eukaryote. Its description in RNAcentral is "partial 18S ribosomal RNA". It matches the Rfam family "Eukaryotic small subunit ribosomal RNA", at positions 1470 to 1796 of the family's 1831-position model. The record is from RNAcentral.
CCCUUAGAUGUUCUGGGCCGCACGCGCGCUACACUGAUGCAUUCAACGAGUCUAAAACCUGGUCUGAUAGGGCUGGGUAAUCUUUUGAAAGUGCAUCGUGAUUGGGAUAGAUGAUUGCAAUUCUUCAUCUUCAACGAGGAAUGCCUAGUAAACGCAAGUCAUCAGCUUGCAUUGAUUACGUCCCUGCCCUUUGUACACACCGCCCGUCGCUCCUACCGAGUGAAUGAUCCGAUGAAUACCAUGGAUUGAGAGUACGAAUGGGUUCGCUCAUUUCUGCUGCUCGAGAAGUGGAGUAAAUCUUAUCAUUUAGAGGAAGGAGAAGUCGUAACA